This 568-nucleotide ribosomal RNA is filed under the name uncultured bacterium. RNAcentral describes it as "bacterial SSU rRNA". It matches the Rfam family "Bacterial small subunit ribosomal RNA", at positions 930 to 1502 of the family's 1533-position model. The record is from RNAcentral.
CGGUGAAUAAUGUGGUUUAAUUCGAUGCAACGCGAAAACCCUUACCCACCUUUGACAUGUACGGAAGUUGCCAGAGAUGGCUUCGUGCUCGAAAGAGAGCCGUAACACAGGUGCUGCAUGGCUGUCGUCAGCUCGUGUCGUGAGAUGUUGGGUUAAGUCCCGCAACGAGCGCAACCCUAGUCAUUAGUUGCUACGAAAGGGCACUCUAAUGAGACUGCCGGUGACAAACCGGAGGAAGGUGGGGAUGACGUCAAGUCCUCAUGGCCCUUAUAGGUGGGGCUACACACGUCAUACAAUGGCUGGUACGGAGGGUUGCCAACCCGCGAGGGGGAGCUAAUCCCAUAAAACCAGUCGUAGUCCGGAUCGCAGUCUGCAACUCGACUGCGUGAAGUCGGAAUCGCUAGUAAUCGCGGAUCAGAAUGUCGCGGUGAAUACGUUCCCGGGUCUUGUACACACCGCCCGUCACACCAUGGGAGCGGGUUCUGCCAGAAGUAGUUAGCCUAACCGCAAGGAGGGCGAUUACCACGGCAGGGUUCGUGACUGGGGUGAAGUCGUAACAAGGUAACCA